This 2538-nucleotide long non-coding RNA is filed under the name Homo sapiens (human). RNAcentral describes it as "non-protein coding lnc-FAM185A-4:1". The record is from RNAcentral. Lineage: Eukaryota; Metazoa; Chordata; Mammalia; Primates; Hominidae.
GGCUUGCUCACAAUAUGUACUUUAUGACUUCCUACACAUCACUUAAGAUUAGGUCUAGGAAUUUUACUUUUCUCACACGCUCUUGAAGAAUCAAUUGAGCACGUAAUCAUUUAUCCUAGCCAAUUACUUAUCUCAUGCUUUCCAUUCCCAUAAAGGAUGUUAGGAAGUAUGUUUGAGUAACUUAAGUUCCUAAUUGUUGAGUAUCUGGCAUAAUUUUUCAAACUCCCCCAACUUUCAUGAUUAGAUCAUAUAACAUUUCUAUCCACAGAAUACUUUGUUUAUAUGAGAAGACUUUUACCACACUGCAGUUCAUCGCUCUCCAUGUAAAAUAUCCCUGUUUAUUUUGAAUCUGACAUGAGGAAGGGAGAGAGUAGACAGGGAAAAAUGGGAAAAUAAAUCUCAAUCACUUUGGCUGUGGAGACCUAACUAAGAGCCUGGAGGUGAACUUGGUUCAACUAAGAUCACAUAUGUGUUGUUACAUUUCCAAUCCAUUUCUGUUUUUUCUACUGUGACCCACAAAAUUUAUUCAAUUUGUACUUAAUUAAACUAAAAAGUUUCAGCACAGCAAAAGAAACAAUCAGCAGAGUAAACAGACAAUGCACAGAGUGGGAGAAAAUCUUCACAAUCUAUACAUCUGACAAAGGACUAAGAUCCAAAAUCUACAACGAACUCAAACAAAUUAGCAAGAAAAAAACAAACAGUCCCAUCAAAAAGUGGGCUAAGGACAUGAACAGACAAUUCUCAAAAGAAGCUAUACAAAUGUCUAACAAACAUAUGAAAAAAAAUGCUCAACAUCACAAAUGAUCAGGGAAAUGUAAACCAAAACCACAAUGCAAAACCAUCUUACUCCUGCAAGACUGGCCAUAAUCAAAAAGUCAAAAAAUAAUAGAUGUUGGCAGGGAUGCAGUGAAAAGGGAACACUUCUGCACUACUGGUGGGAAUGUAAACUAGUACAGCCACUAUGAAAAACAGUGUGGACACUCCUUAAAGAGCUAAAAGUAGAACUAUCAUUUGAUCCAGCAAUCCCACUGCUGGGUAUCUACCCGGAGGAAAAGAAGUCAUUGUACGAAAAAGAUACUUGCACAGACAUGCUUAUGGAAGCACAAUUCGCAAUUGCAAAAUCGGGGAACUAACCCAAAUGUCCAUCAAUCAAUGAGUAGAUAAAGAAAUUGUGGUAUGGAAUACUAUUCAGCCAUAAAAAUGAAACAAUGGCAUUUGCAGUAACCUGGGUGGAAUUGGAGACCAUUAUUCUAAGUGGAGUAACUCAGUAAUGGAAAACCAAACAUUGUAUGUUCUCACUCAUAAUUGGGAGCUAAGCUAUGAGAAUGCAAAGGUAUAUGAACGAUGCAAUGGAUUUUGGGGACUUGGGGGAAAGGGUGGGAAGUGAGUGAGGAAUAAAAGACUACAAAUUGAGUACAGUACAGUGUACACUGCUUAGGUGAUGGGUGCACCAAAAUCUCACAAAUUACCACUAAAAAACAUACUCAUGUAACCAAACACCACCCAUUCCCCAAAAACCUAUGGAAAUAAGAAAUAAAGUGAAUUAAUCAGUUUUCAAAAAUCAAUUCAAGAUGGAUUAAAGACUUAAACGUUAGACCUAAAACCAUAAAAACCCUAGAAGAAAACCUAGGCAUUACCAUUCAGGACAUAGGCAUGGGCAAGGACUUCAUGUCUAAAACACCAAAAGCAAUGGCAACAAAAGCCAAAAUUGAUGAAUGGGAUCUAAUUAAACUAAAGAGCUUCUGCACAGCAAAAGAAACUACCAUCAGAGUGAAGAGGCAACCCACAAAAUGGGAGAAAAUUUUUGCAACCUACUCAUCUGACAAAGGGCUAAUAUCCAGAAUCUACAAUGAACUCAAACAAAUUUACAAGAAAAAAACAAACAACCCCAUCAAAAAGUGGGCAAAGGACAUGAACAGACACUUCUCAAAAGAAGACAUUUCUGCAGCCAAAAAACACAUGAAAAAAUGCUCAUCAUCACUGGCCAUCAGAGAAAUGCAAAUCAAAACCACAAUGAGAUAUCAUCUCACACCAGUUAGAAUGGCGAUCAUUAAAAAGUCAGGAAACAACAGGUGCUGGAGAGGAUGUGGAGAAAUAGGAACACUUUUACACUGUCGGUGGGACUGUAAACUAGUUCAACCAUUGUGGAAGCCAGUGCAGCGAUUCCUUAGGGAUCUAGAACUAGAAAUACCAUUUGACCCAGCCAUCCCAUUACUGGGUAUAUACCCAAAGGACUAUAAAUCAUGCCGCUAUAAAGACACAUGCACAUGUAUGUUUAUUGUGGCGCUAUUCACAAUAGCAAAGACUUAGAACCAACCCAAAUGUCCAACAAUGAUAGACUGGAUUAAGAAAAUGUGGCACAUAUACACCAUGGAAUACUAUGCAGCCAUAAAAAAUGAUGAGUUCAUGUCCUUUGUGGUGACAUGGAUGAAAUUGGAAAUCAUCAUUCUCAGUAAACUAUCACAAAAACAAAAAACCAAACACCGCAUAUUCUCACUCAUAGGUGGGAAUUGAACAAUGAGAACACAUGGACACAGG